Molecule: transfer RNA, 74 nt
Filed under: Nitrososphaerota archaeon
Lineage: Archaea; Thermoproteati; Nitrososphaerota
Also listed under: 2 other names
Description: tRNA-Ala
Rfam family: tRNA
About the family: Transfer RNA (tRNA) molecules are approximately 80 nucleotides in length. Their secondary structure includes four short double-helical elements and three loops (D, anti-codon, and T loops).
Source: RNAcentral
GGGCCGGUAGUUCAAUCUGGUAGAAUGCCUCCCUCGCACGGAGGAGGUCGGGGGUUCAAAUCCCCCCCGGUCCA